GCUAUGGUAGCCUAGUGGUUAGAGCGUCUGCCUCCGAUACGGGAGGUCGUGGGUUCGAACUUCGGCCGAGUCAUACCA
This is a non-coding RNA of Potamilus streckersoni, 78 nucleotides long. Lineage: Eukaryota; Metazoa; Mollusca; Bivalvia; Unionida; Unionidae. The record is from the annotation of a GenBank genome assembly.